CAAACAGUGGGAGAAGAUGUCUCACGCACACUGAAGUUAGACCACUGCAAAACUGAGCCAGACGGCUUUGUUGUGCAGCUUUCUGAUGCCUCCAGGGGACAGCUGCUUAUCGGAGGGAGACUAUUAUGGGGUUGGGGCUGGAGAUGUUCCAUGCAGCAUCCUGCAAGGGGAAGCAGUUACUUUAUGAGAGCGAUGCUUCAACCAGCUAACUGGAUAGCCCUCCCUUUUGCAGCUGGUGUGGGUGAAGAUGUGGAAGCUUGAUUCUCCUUGGAAGCUCUGAUCACCCCAGCCCAGAACCACUAGUCCCCACUUAGUCUUGGAGAGGAGGCAAGGAUGUGUGUCCUCUGCGUGUAGCCUUACGGUCUGCAAAUGCUUAUGAAAACCUAUGAAAGAGAGACUAUUCAUUUUAGUUCCAUUUUAGA
This 422-nucleotide long non-coding RNA is filed under the name Homo sapiens (human). Its description in RNAcentral is "HSALNT0357347". Lineage: Eukaryota; Metazoa; Chordata; Mammalia; Primates; Hominidae. The record is from RNAcentral.